Molecule: ribosomal RNA, 243 nt
Filed under: uncultured Oscillospiraceae bacterium
Lineage: Bacteria; Bacillati; Bacillota; Clostridia; Eubacteriales; Oscillospiraceae
Description: partial 16S ribosomal RNA
Rfam family: Bacterial small subunit ribosomal RNA
Source: RNAcentral
CACGCUGUAAACGAUGAUUACUAGGUGUGGGGGGACUGACCCCUUCCGUGCCGCAGUUAACACAAUAAGUAAUCCACCUGGGGAGUACGACCGCAAGGUUGAAACUCAAAGGAAUUGACGGGGGCCCGCACAAGCAGUGGAGUAUGUGGUUUAAUUCGAAGCAACGCGAAGAACCUUACCAGGUCUUGACAUCCCGUGCAUAGUGUAGAGAUACAUGAAGUCUUCGGACACGGAGACAGGUGG